This 293-nucleotide long non-coding RNA is filed under the name Mytilus galloprovincialis (Mediterranean mussel). The record is from RNAcentral. Lineage: Eukaryota; Metazoa; Mollusca; Bivalvia; Mytilida; Mytilidae.
UAUUAACAUAUACAUGGUGAUUAGUUUUUUGUUGCAUCAUUCAUAUCACAAGAUACUUAAAUAUAAGUAUUAACUGAAGAAAAAUCCUUCAGUAUUUCAAGUUCUUAAUCACCAUGAACUGAAAAAAGUUAUUGAAAAGUGACUGGUAGUUGUUUUCAUGAAGUAUGCCAAGGGAGAUAACUCUAAUCACAUUGAGAGGAGGUCCAUUUUAAAGCAUUUAAAACUAGUUAAGAUUGUUUUUAAUUAUAUUUAUUUCGGUAUUUAAGAUAUGUAUUUAAAUGAGCUAAUUUAUG